UUUGUAAUUUUAAUUUUCAGUUUAGAAAUGCGGAAGUUAGAUUUGUAGGCUUUAGUCCGUCCUGGUCAGUCCCGCAUGUGAACCCACAGUGUCAAGGAGAGUUUUUGAAACUACAGAUUUCAAGAGAGUGGUUUCGGAAGUGUCUUUUAUUGCAAGCCUUUGUUGGGGUCCACGUUAAAGUACUAUAAGUACGGCUGGACGAACCUGGGUGACCCCAGCACUGU
This is a long non-coding RNA of Hyalella azteca, 224 nucleotides long. RefSeq lists it as uncharacterized. The record is from RefSeq and is a predicted model, not a curated record. Lineage: Eukaryota; Metazoa; Arthropoda; Malacostraca; Amphipoda; Hyalellidae. The transcript has 2 exons.